RNAcentral lists this ribosomal RNA (545 nucleotides) under Lodderomyces orthopsilosis. RNAcentral describes it as "Candida orthopsilosis partial large subunit ribosomal RNA". It matches the Rfam family "Eukaryotic large subunit ribosomal RNA", at positions 57 to 607 of the family's 3401-position model. Lineage: Eukaryota; Fungi; Ascomycota; Pichiomycetes; Serinales; Debaryomycetaceae. The record is from RNAcentral.
AAAAGAAACCAACAGGGAUUGCCUUAGUAGCGGCGAGUGAAGCGGCAAAAGCUCAAAUUUGAAAUCUGGCACUUUCAGUGUCCGAGUUGUAAUUUGAAGAAGGUAUCUUUGGGUCUGGCUCUUGUCUAUGUUUCUUGGAACAGAACGUCACAGAGGGUGAGAAUCCCGUGCGAUGAGAUGACCCAGACCUAUGUAAAGUUCCUUCGAAGAGUCGAGUUGUUUGGGAAUGCAGCUCUAAGUGGGUGGUAAAUUCCAUCUAAAGCUAAAUAUUGGCGAGAGACCGAUAGCGAACAAGUACAGUGAUGGAAAGAUGAAAAGAACUUUGAAAAGAGAGUGAAAAAGUACGUGAAAUUGUUGAAAGGGAAGGGCUUGAGAUCAGACUUGGUAUUUUGUAUGUUACUCUCUCGGGGGUGGCCUCUACAGUUUACCGGGCCAGCAUCAGUUUGGGCGGUAGGACAAUUGCAAAGAAAUGUGGCACUGCCUCGGUAGUGUGUUAUAGUCUUUGUCGAUACUGCCAGCCUAGACUGAGGACUGCGGCUUCGGCC